AACUCUUAGCGGUGGAUCACUCGGCUCGUGCGUCGAUGAAGAACGCAGCUAGCUGCGAGAACUAAUGUGAUUUGCAUAGUUGGAGAGCAUGCUCUGCUGGAGAGUCAGGGGAGUUAAAAACAACUGUUUAUAGCUUUAUUUUGAUUGAUC
RNAcentral lists this ribosomal RNA (150 nucleotides) under Gambusia affinis (western mosquitofish). Its description in RNAcentral is "5.8S ribosomal RNA (ENSGAFG00000001660.1)". It matches the Rfam family "5.8S ribosomal RNA". From Rfam's summary of the family: 5.8S ribosomal RNA (5.8S rRNA) is a component of the large subunit of the eukaryotic ribosome. Lineage: Eukaryota; Metazoa; Chordata; Actinopteri; Cyprinodontiformes; Poeciliidae. The record is from Rfam by way of RNAcentral.